GCCAUGCAAGUCUAAGUAUAAACAAUCAUACUGUGAAACUGCGAAUGGCUCAUUAAAUCAGUUAUAAUUUAUUUGAUAGCACCUAACACAUGGAUAACUGUGGUAAUUCUAGAGCUAAUACAUGCUAAAAACCCCAACUUCGGGAGGGGUGUAUUUAUUAGAUUAAAAACCAAUGCCCUCCGGGGCUCCUUGGUGAUUCAUGAUAACUUAACGAAUCGCAUGGCCUUGCGCUGGCGAUGGUUCAUUCAAAUUUCUGCCCUAUCAACUUUCGAUGGUAAGAUAGAGGCUUACCAUGGUGUCGACGGGUAACGGGGAAUUAGGGUUCGAUUCCGGAGAGGGAGCCUGAGAAACGGCUACCACAUCCAAGGAAGGCAGCAGGCGCGCAAAUUGCCCAAUGGUGAUACACCGAGGCAGUGACAAUACAUACUGAUACAGAGCUCUUUUGGGUUUUGUAAUUGGAAUGAGUACAAUCUAAAUCCCUUAACGAGGAACAAUUGGAGGGCAAGUCUGGUGCCAGCAGCCGCGGUAAUUCCAGCUCCAAUAGCGUAUAUUAAAGUUGUUGCGGUUAAAAAGCUCGUAGUUGAACUUUGGGCUUGGCUGGCCGGUCCGCCUCACCGCGUGUACUGGUUCGGCCGAGCCUUUCCUUCUGGGGAAUCUCAUGCCCUUCACUGGGUGUGUUGGGGAACCAGGACUUUUACUUUGAAAAAAUUAGAG
This 714-nucleotide ribosomal RNA is filed under the name Sclerococcum sp. A1016. RNAcentral describes it as "SSU rRNA". It matches the Rfam family "Eukaryotic small subunit ribosomal RNA", at positions 48 to 771 of the family's 1831-position model. Lineage: Eukaryota; Fungi; Ascomycota; Eurotiomycetes; Sclerococcales; Dactylosporaceae. The record is from RNAcentral.